Molecule: long non-coding RNA, 2317 nt
Filed under: Salvia miltiorrhiza (redroot sage)
Lineage: Eukaryota; Viridiplantae; Streptophyta; Magnoliopsida; Lamiales; Lamiaceae
Description: long non-coding RNA (SMIL_LNC010756)
Source: RNAcentral
CACUUCAUCUUCAUCAGCCACUGCUCAACCUGCACAUUUAGAAAUAUAUGCAGGGCUGAGUACGGGAGUACUCAGUGGGCACGUAUGCCUAAAUAUAAACAUCAUUGCGUAAAAACUAUAAAUUGUCAUGCUAUCAUAAACAGUACAACAAGAGAGUUUUAGCUAAAAGGCCCAAGUUUACUAAAUUCAUUUGUGAUUCUUAAAGUUCAUCUACAGACUAAGUUCUCUUGUAAUCUAUCAUAUCUGGAACUUGUGCCGGAGAGGUGGCCACCUCUCACGGACACUUGACCGGCCAACCCGCUAGAUGACUCACGGUCACUGGUGUACACUAAUCCUGGCAGGAUAGCUAUCAACUGCUCAGAACCCGAAUUCGAUUGCAUCAUUGGCAAAGCCAAAGCAGAUAGAUAUCAUACUAAAAUUGAAACAUUUAUGGCAAGACAAUACUUGAAAUAACUUUAACUCAAAGAUUUUGUAACGAAAUAACUUGCUCGAACAUUUAACUCAUUUGAUAUAUAUGAAAGUAAUACUCACCUGAUAGCGAACCUUUGCUAUAGCUUAGUGACUCCUUAUUAGCUUUUACUAUCACGCUUAACCUCGAAUGCGAGAACAUAAGGUAAAACCUUAACUCGAUGAUAAUUCUCAAAUGAAUGAGAAUGCGUAAAAGAAAAAUGCAUGACUCUUAUUCUAAUAAUUAUUAUUCUGCGACAAUAAUCUGAUAAAUUCUAAUAAUAAUCCAAACUAUAGGAUUAAAACUCGUCUUAUGAGGUUGGAUUAUUGAUCUUACUUAAUCUGCUCACCCUAGGGUAUUGUAACUCGUUUUCCAAUUAGUAACAUCAUUCUAACUUAAUCCAUAAUUAGAAACAAUUGAGUCUAAUUACUCGAUUAUAAAAUCCAGAACUAGUAAUUAAUCGAGCUUAACUUAAAAAUAAUGACAGCCCAAUCAUAGAUCAUAAUGUUGAAACACUUAAAGCUAUAAAACCAGCCCAUCAUAAUUAAAUAACUUCAGCCCGAAUUGGUAAGCAGAUGGCAUCAACCCAAGUCUCAUAAAUAACUCCCACUCCAAAAGAAUUUCAGCCCAAGAAAUAGUCAAAAUCGGCCCAUCCCUCUCUUGCUGAAAAUAGCCCCUUCUUCACAUCUCACACUGAGUUUCAAACCAGCGUCGCCUACCUUGGGAAUCCGGCGAUCCGACGCCUCGUCCGGUCGGUGCCUCCUUCACCCCCCUCCCCCUCUCGCCAGACUCUCACCCUCCAUCUUUAUUCUUCUUAUCGAUCUCUUAUAAUUUCAGGAAGCACACUCUUACAUGAGAAUCGAGCCCUAGCUUCUCUUCAAACUUGCCGCAGCCGUGGCUCUUCUCCGGCGAGACGGCGCCACCGUCUGCUCUCCUAUCUCUCUUCUCUCCUCUUUUCUCAAUUACAUCACUCCCUCUGAACUUUGAAUCCAUCGCACAUAAAGGGCAAUGCCGAGCCGCAGGUUCUCUCGGCUUCGGCGACAUCGCCGCCGCAGCUGCCUGGGCUCGCUCACUGCGCCGUCGCGCCUGGAGUCAGCGUCUCCUUCCUCGAUCCUCCGGUGGGCGGUUAAUUAGGGCAGGGCGGCGUCCGUUGCUCCCCCCCCCCCUUUUCACUCGCGUACACGAACGAGGGAAAUGCCAAACCCUCAGUCCUCUUAGCUCAGGCGAGAGAGUCACCGCCGUCUGCCCUCUGGUUCAGCGGAACAGACAAGUCGCCCCCUUCUCGAUUUAUUGAAUCAGGUACAGUAAAAUACCCCCCAUUCCCCUUAAAAUUUUAAGUUCGGUGUUACACAACGUGAAGGGAAUUCUCAUACUAUAAUAUAUGUAUUUUGAGUUAUUAGAGCAAGGGGAAGUGUGACAGGCUGACAUUCUAAUUCUGUAAACAUGCUGGAUUAAACAUACUACAGGACUCAUGGUUUGCUAUGUUCAUAUGCGUAUGCUUGUUUACACACUCUGUAUUUCUAUACAACAUGUAUGAAGUAUGGAUUGGAUUUGAAUAAGCUAAGCUUAGUAUUUACCUUGCAAUUGUUUGGUGUUUGGCCGUCUGUUGUUGCUGUUGAAUUCAUUGGGGAAGAAGCUGAAAAGAAUUGUGGGUUCAUCUUAAUAAAUGCAGGUUGAUUAAGAAUGGAAUGGGGAGUUAAAGCCAAAGCUUACCCUCCCUUGAAGUCUGGUAGCAGCAGCAAAUUCUUCUGCUCUCUCUCUCUUUCUUCAAAUUCUUGUGCACUAAGGAAAUUUGAAGGGAUUGUCGGGUGUAGUAUAAAGGGGUAGAUGGGCUGUCAUAGGGUGGCUGAUAGAGGGUGGUUGAAAGAC